Molecule: long non-coding RNA, 373 nt
Filed under: Lactuca sativa (garden lettuce)
Lineage: Eukaryota; Viridiplantae; Streptophyta; Magnoliopsida; Asterales; Asteraceae
Description: long non-coding RNA (LSAT_LNC006437)
Source: RNAcentral
AACUAUUAACAUUAAUACAACAAUAAACAUAUUAUAAUUACAUCUUAUAUAAACUAAUCAGUAAAAAGUGAUUAUCAUCAAUAAAAAAUAACAAAUUUCUUAUGUCGACCAACCACCACCUUCACAAUCGCCGGUAUAUCACCACCACCGCUAAAAACCACCGGAAAUCGCAUGAAACAUUCGCUGGCUACUAUUAACAACCAUCAGAUAGUGAGAUAUAGAGAGAAAAUCGAAAGAGAAAAAAAGAGAAGGAGCAAGAUUAAGAACGAGAGAAAGAGAAGUUAAAAAAAAAAAAAAAAAAUAAUACCUCGCCGGAAAUCUCUUCUAGACGACGGAAUCUGCUCUCCCGCAUUGGACCGCUAUUGGACGGCUG